Molecule: long non-coding RNA, 730 nt
Organism: Papilio xuthus (Asian swallowtail)
Lineage: Eukaryota; Metazoa; Arthropoda; Insecta; Lepidoptera; Papilionidae
Exons: 3
Source: RefSeq, a predicted model, not a curated record
AAAUUCAUGCCACACCCGUUUGUUUUGCUUUUAACGAUUUAUUUAGGUUUUCAAAAGCUAUAAGUUAAGCUUUAAAAUGAAUAAAAUCUAUAUAUAUAGUUUCGGUUUUUUAAUAACCUUAUCAUUUUUUAUAUUUAAAGUGUAUGGUCUUGAAUGUUAUGUAUGUGAAAAUCAGGAAGAUAACAACGAAAAAUGUGUUAAAACCAUAAAAACUUGUGAAUAUGAUCAAGACGUUUGUCUAACCGAAAUUAAAUGGGGUAGUACACCUUAUUGGUCUCAAGGGGCAAAGAAGCAGUACUAUGUGUCGAAACGGUGUUCUAAUAGGACAGACUGCGCCACAACCAGGGAACGGUAUAUGCCAACAUGCACACAUAUUUGGUAUCAAGAUUGGGUAUGUUCAGAUUGCUGUCAGGGUGACCGCUGCAACUAUUACAUUAUAAGUGGAAAUGCAACUAUCCAGCCAUUUUUAUGUAUGGUCAUAGGCAGUGUAAUGCUUCUAAGACUUCUAAGUAAUAAGUUUAUUCUUUACACAUAGUUAAAAGGUAAACAAUAUCUUUUGGAGAAUAACUAUAUUCUUUUCUCCCAUUAUGACCAUCCAAUUUAUGUAUAAGUUUCUAUUUUUUAUAAGGUGACUUUAAGAUAUUUACACACAUUCUUUUCAAAGACUUUUUUUAUAACAACUUACUAUUAUACAAAUGAUUUUAAUAGCUUUUAAGUAAUGAUAUUAUGU